GAUGAACGCUGGCGGCGUGCCUAAUACAUGCAAGUCGAGCGAACAGAUAAGGAGCUUGCUCCUUUGACGUUAGCGGCGGACGGGUGAGUAACACGUGGGUAACCUACCUAUAAGACUGGGAUAACUUCGGGAAACCGGAGCUAAUACCGGAUAACAUUUGGAACCGCAUGGUUCUAAAGUGAAAGAUGGUUUUGCUAUCACUUAUAGAUGGACCCGCGCCGUAUUAGCUAAUUGGUAAGGUAACGGCUUACCAAGGCGACGAUACGUAGCCGACCUGGGAGGGUGAGCGGCCACACUGGAACUGAGACACGGUCCAGACUCCUACGGGAGGCAGAAGUAGGGAAUCUUCCGCAAUGGGCGAAAGCCUGACGGAGCAACGCCGCGUGAGUGAUGAAGGGUUUCGGCCCGUAAAACUCUGUUAUUAGGGAAGAACAAACGUGUAAGUAACUGUGCACGUCUUGACGGUACCUAAUCAGAAAGCCACGGCUAACUACGUGCCAGCAGCCGCCGUAA
This 513-nucleotide ribosomal RNA is filed under the name uncultured bacterium. RNAcentral describes it as "partial 16S ribosomal RNA". It matches the Rfam family "Bacterial small subunit ribosomal RNA", at positions 28 to 523 of the family's 1533-position model. The record is from RNAcentral.